Molecule: non-coding RNA, 34 nt
Filed under: Prorocentrum micans
Lineage: Eukaryota; Dinophyceae; Prorocentrales; Prorocentraceae
Source: RNAcentral
CCAAUGAAAAAAAAAAAAAAAAAAAAAAAAAAAA